This is a non-coding RNA of Micropterus salmoides (largemouth bass), 1323 nucleotides long. Lineage: Eukaryota; Metazoa; Chordata; Actinopteri; Centrarchiformes; Centrarchidae. The record is from the annotation of a RefSeq genome assembly.
GUUUAACAUGAUGGACUAUAGGACAGGACUGCUGCUUUUAACUGUCUGCUGGGCAGGUGUUGAUGGUCAGACUCUGACAGAAUCUGAACCAGUAGUUAAAAGGCCUGAAGAAUCCCACAGAUUGACCUGUACAGCCUCUGGAUUCACAUUCAGCAACCACGGGAUGAGCUGGGUCAGACAGGCACCUGGAAAAGGACUGGAGUGGAUUGCUUUUAUCUAUGGUGAUGCUGGCGGCAAAUACUACUCUCAGUCAGUUCAAGGCCGGUUUACCAUCUCCAGAGACAACAGCAGACAGCAGCUGUAUCUGCAGAUGAACAGUCUGAAGACUGAAGAUUCUGCUGUUUAUUAUUGUGCUCGAUAGUCACAGUGACUGGAGUUGGUGGAGCAGCUGUACAAAAUCCUACAGAUCUCAUCUUUCAGGCUGUUAGAGCCUAAGCAUGACUUUUUUUUCUUUGUAUUCAUAUUCUUAUUCUUAUUAUUUCUUUUGUGUUUAUUGUGUUACAUUCUAUAUUUUACAAUACACGUUUUGUGAAUACAGAAGUACACUUAUUGUAAGUCCUGAAGCAAGAGGAAUAUUUGCACUAAACCUUAAACACAUAACAAAACACACGAUAAAGAACCCUUGUUCAUAAAACUGCCAAAGACAGCACAACAAUCUGGUAGCUGAAGUCAAACAUCUGCAGAUACUAUUUCGAUACAUCUAGACACAAUGAGGUCUGUAAAUUAUGUGGAAUCUAGAAUGAAUCAACAGGAGAGUGAAAAAUAAUGUUGCAGUUUCUUUUAUAAAAUCACUAGAGGGCAGUCAGUGUCAAGUUUCUCUCUCCUCUGUUUCUAAAAAGAGACACUCAGAUCUGGUGUUCUCAUUGAUCUUAACUGACUGACACUUGAACCCUGGACUGAACUAAAGCUUAACACUCCUGCUUCUCAUGAACACUGGAUACUGUGAUAGUUGAUACUUUUCUACUCUAAACAAAAGACAUGUAUGAAAUUGAUUCAGCACAUUUUGAAUAUUUAAAUAUGGCAGCAUUUAACUUGAUUAAUUACUAUUAUCAAUAAAAUGUAUUUACUUGAAUAUAUUGUGUAUGAAUAUAAAUAUUUUAUAUAGGAAGAUUUUUCAUAUCUUAUAACAACCCAAACAAAAUUAUAAACCACACAGCAUGAUAUUUGAUUAAGACUGUUUUUAUUUUUGACACAAUCAGACACAGAUAAAGGUACAAUGUGGUGAUAAUAACAAGAACUUACAGCUUUAGUUUUUAUCUAACAUAAAAUAUAUUUUUCACAGAGGUUUCAGUUCCUGAGAAGCUGUUUUUAUCUAGUGGCUCC